ACACUAAUCCCCCCAGGGGAUCCUGGCCCUUAAAUCGAUGAUCCACGAACGUCUUACCUUUUCUAGUCCUUCUCUUAAUGUAAAAGUGGGAGAGGGGAGUCUCAGCUCGCAUACCGCCGUUUGUCAGUUUGUAUUGUGAAAGGAAAGAAACAAGCGCCGAAGCAAGUCCCCCACCACUUAAAGGGCUUCGCUCCAAAUUCAGGUAAACGUGUGGCCCAUGGAAAGGAGCAGCUGGGAUACAAUUGAGGUUUGUAAUGGAGUGACUGCGAUAAACGCUAGACGAAAGAGGACUUGGAAGUAAUUGCCUUGGACACAGAGGUGGUGAAUAGUGCUCUAGUGUGUGU
RNAcentral lists this ribosomal RNA (344 nucleotides) under Notoacmea elongata. RNAcentral describes it as "partial 12S ribosomal RNA". Lineage: Eukaryota; Metazoa; Mollusca; Gastropoda; Acmaeidae. The record is from RNAcentral.